UACGAAGGGGGCUAGCGUUGUUCGGAAUCACUGGGCGUAAAGCGCACGUAGGCGGAUCUUUAAGUCAGGGGUGAAAUCCCGAGGCUCAACCUCGGAACUGCCUUUGAUACUGGGGAUCUCGAGUCCGGGAGAGGUGAGUGGAACUGCGAGUGUAGAGGUGAAAUUCGUAGAUAUUCGCAAGAACACCAGUGGCGAAGGCGGCUCACUGGCCCGGUACUGACGCUGAGGUGCGAAAGCG
This 238-nucleotide ribosomal RNA is filed under the name uncultured bacterium. RNAcentral describes it as "partial 16S ribosomal RNA". It matches the Rfam family "Bacterial small subunit ribosomal RNA", at positions 524 to 761 of the family's 1533-position model. The record is from RNAcentral.